This 43-nucleotide ribosomal RNA is filed under the name Trypanosoma cruzi. RNAcentral describes it as "ribosomal RNA large subunit epsilon (M4), 5' partial". The record is from RNAcentral. Lineage: Eukaryota; Euglenozoa; Kinetoplastea; Trypanosomatida; Trypanosomatidae.
GCGCUGAACCUUGAGGCCUGAAAUUUCAUGCUCAGGGACUAAA